AUGCAUGUUUAAGUUCAUCUUGAAAAAGUGAAACCGCGGACGGCUCAGUAAAUCAGUCGGAAUUCUUUGAAGUGUUGCUUACAUAAGGAUACCUCAGGUAACCCUUGAGCUAAUACUUGAAAUGUCCCCUUCGUGGGAUGCACCUCUAGUCGAUUUAACCUACCGGCGUGAUUGCGUACGGUCAAGGGGAGCUCUGAUGAGAGGGUCUACUCCUCCGCAUUGUGCAGGGAGUUAUUUCUCGAAGUGUCUGACCUAUCAAUUGUGGACGGUAGUGUCUUGGACUACCAUGGUCCUGACGGGUAACGGGGAAUCAGGGUUCUAUUCCGGAGAGGCAGCCUUAGAAACGGCUACUACACCCAAGGGAGGCAGCAGGCGCGCAAAUUACCCAAUAUUAGAUGUGUGAGGUAGUGACGAAAAAUAACGAUGCAUCACUUUUGUGUUGUAAUCGGAAUGACAGUGAAGUAAACAUUCUCUGAAGGAGCAAGUGGAGGGCAAGUCUGGUGCCAGCAGCCGCGGUAAUACCAGCUUCCACAAGCAUAUGCAAAAGUUGCUGCGUUUAGAAAGCUCGUAGUUGGUGCUGUUACGAUCGUGCUAUUCAAUGGUGGAAUAUCCUUUAGUACGGUUGGACCUCUGCGUCUCCGGAUUGUUGCACUUAAUUGUGUGAUGAUUUGGAGGCAGAUUUACCUAGAAUAAAUUAGCGUGUUCAAAGCAGCCUUUGGGUAUGAAUAAUGGAGCAUGGAAUAAUGGAAGAGGAUCGAACAUCUUUCAUGGGUUACGGAUAUGUCGAAUAAUGGUUAACAAGAUCGAAUGGGGGCGUUCGUAUUGUUACGUCAGAGGUGAAAUUCUUGGAUCGUAGCAAGACGGUCUACUGCGAAAGCAUUUGCCAAAAGUGUUUUUACUUAUCAAGAACGAAAGUUGGAGUAUUGAAGAGGAUUAGAUACCCUCGUAAUUCUAACCAUAAACUAUUCAAACUCGAUUUGUGCAUGAUCAAAUGUGUUCUAGCAUGAAUUAUAUGGGAAACUAAAGUCUUUCUGUUACGGGGGUAGUAUGGUUGCAAAAUCGAAACUUAAAGGAAUUGACGGAAGGGCACCACCAGGAGUGGAGCUUGCGGCUUAAUUCGACUCAACACGGGGAAACUCACCAGGUCCAGACAUGGUAAUGAUUGACAGACUGAAUAUUCAUCAUGAUACUUUGGGUGGUGGUGCAUGGCCGUUCUUAGUUAGUGGAGUGCUCUGUCUGGUUGAUUCCGAUAACGAACGAGACCUAAUUCAAUUGAAUAUCAAAAGCAGGAAAGCUGUUUCAUGAUUCUAAGAGAGACCACGUAGAUUUCUUACUACUUGGAAGUUGGGCUAUAACAGGUCUGUGAUGCCCUUAGAUGUCCUGGGCUGCACGCGUGCUACAAUGA
Molecule: ribosomal RNA, 1405 nt
Filed under: Isodiametra divae
Lineage: Eukaryota; Metazoa; Xenacoelomorpha; Acoela; Isodiametridae
Description: SSU rRNA
Rfam family: Eukaryotic small subunit ribosomal RNA
Source: RNAcentral